GAUGAACGCUGGCGGCGUGCCUAACACAUGCAAGUCGAGCGGACAGGCGCCUUUCGUGGUCCUCGAGCGUUGAACGGGGGCGGAAGAGGAGCGUAACCAGACCUUACCUUCGGGACAAGGAUAACUACCGGGGACCAAUACUGAUAAGGAAUCAUUUCUUCAUGGGGGUGGUUGGAUAGUGUCGGCGGUUUUUGAUGUGCUUGCUGCUUAGCAGCUUGUUGGUGUAGCAGUGGCUUACCAAGGCUUUGUCGGGUAGCCGGCCUGAGUGGGCGACCGGCCACCUUGGGACUGAGAUGCGGCCCCGACUCCUACGGGAGGCAGCAGUGGGGAAUCUUGCCCAAUGGGCGGCAGCCUGAUGCAGAAACGCCGCGUGCGGGAUGACGGUCUUCGGGUUGUAAACCGCUUUCAGCAGGGGCGAAGCUUGUGGUGACGGUACCUGCAGAAGAAGCACCGGCUAACUACGUG
RNAcentral lists this ribosomal RNA (465 nucleotides) under uncultured bacterium. RNAcentral describes it as "partial 16S ribosomal RNA". It matches the Rfam family "Bacterial small subunit ribosomal RNA", at positions 28 to 507 of the family's 1533-position model. The record is from RNAcentral.